RNAcentral lists this ribosomal RNA (35 nucleotides) under uncultured Cenococcum. RNAcentral's name for it is "partial 18S ribosomal RNA". Lineage: Eukaryota; Fungi; Ascomycota; Dothideomycetes; Gloniales; Gloniaceae. The record is from RNAcentral.
AACGUUCCGUGGGUGAACCUGCGGAAGGAUCAUUA